Molecule: ribosomal RNA, 465 nt
Filed under: Vreelandella stevensii
Lineage: Bacteria; Pseudomonadati; Pseudomonadota; Gammaproteobacteria; Oceanospirillales; Halomonadaceae
Description: partial 16S ribosomal RNA
Rfam family: Bacterial small subunit ribosomal RNA
Source: RNAcentral
CCUACGGGGGGCAGCAGUGGGGAAUAUUGGACAAUGGGCGAAAGCCUGAUCCAGCCAUGCCGCGUGUGUGAAGAAGGCCUUCGGGUUGUAAAGCACUUUCAGUGGGGAAGAAAGCCUUGGGGCUAAUACCCUCGAGGAAGGACAUCACCCACAGAAGAAGCACCGGCUAACUCCGUGCCAGCAGCCGCGGUAAUACGGAGGGUGCGAGCGUUAAUCGGAAUUACUGGGCGUAAAGCGCGCGUAGGCGGUCUGAUAAGCCGGUUGUGAAAGCCCCGGGCUCAACCUGGGAACGGCAUCCGGAACUGUCAGGCUAGAGUACAGGAGAGGAAGGUAGAAUUCCCGGUGUAGCGGUGAAAUGCGUAGAGAUCGGGAGGAAUACCAGUGGCGAAGGCGGCCUUCUGGACUGACACUGACGCUGAGGUGCGAAAGCGUGGGUAGCAAACAGGAUUAGAUACCCUAGUAGUC